Molecule: small nucleolar RNA, 127 nt
Organism: Spea bombifrons (plains spadefoot toad)
Lineage: Eukaryota; Metazoa; Chordata; Amphibia; Anura; Pelobatidae
Source: RefSeq, a predicted model, not a curated record
AUUGAGGUCUAUCCCGAUGGGUCUUUGAUGUAAGGCCAUAUCGUUGGAAACGCCUCAAAAAUUAAGCUUGCAGAUUAAUGGUACCUGCUAUAAAUGCAUUUAUAGCAGACAUUACUGCAUAACAUUU